CACGUAGGGGGCAAGCGUUGUCCGGAUUUAUUGGGCGUAAAGGGCUCGUAGGCGGUUCGACAAGUCGGGUGUGAAACCUCCAGGCUCAACCUGGAGUCGCCACUCGAAACUGUUGUGACUUGAGUCCGGUAGGGGAGCAUGGAAUUCCUGGUGUAGCGGUGGAAUGCGCAGAUAUCAGGAGGAACACCAGUGGCGAAGGCGAUGCUCUGGGCCGGUACUGACGCUGAGGGGCGAAAGCAUGGGGAGCGAACAGG
RNAcentral lists this ribosomal RNA (254 nucleotides) under uncultured bacterium. RNAcentral describes it as "partial 16S ribosomal RNA". It matches the Rfam family "Bacterial small subunit ribosomal RNA", at positions 524 to 776 of the family's 1533-position model. The record is from RNAcentral.